UGGGGAAUAUUGCACAAUGGGCGCAAGCUUGAUGCAGCAACGCCGCGUGCGGGAUGACGGCCUUCGGGUUGUAAACCGCUUUCAGUUCCGACGAAGCGCAAGUGACGGUAGGAACAGAAGAAGGACCGGCCAACUACGUGCCAGCAGCCGCGGUGAUACGUAGGGUCCGAGCGUUGUCCGGAAUUAUUGGGCGUAAAGGGCUUGUAGGCGGUUUGUCACGUCGGAAGUGAAAACUCAGGGCUUAACCCUGAGCCUGCUUCCGAUACGGGCAAACUAGAGGAAUGCAGGGGAGAAUGGAAUUCCUGGUGGAGCGGUGGAAUGCGCAGAUAUCAGGAGGAACACCGGUGGCGAAAGGCGGUUCUCCGGGGCAUUUCCUGACGCUGAGAAGCGAAAAGCGUGGGGAGCAAACAGGCUUAGAUACCCUGGUAGUCCACGCCGUAAAACGGUGGGCACUAGGUGUGGGGGAACAUUCCACGUUCUCCGUGCCGAAGCU
RNAcentral lists this ribosomal RNA (493 nucleotides) under uncultured Actinomycetes bacterium. Its description in RNAcentral is "bacterial SSU rRNA". It matches the Rfam family "Bacterial small subunit ribosomal RNA", at positions 355 to 853 of the family's 1533-position model. The record is from RNAcentral. Lineage: Bacteria; Bacillati; Actinomycetota; Actinomycetes.